Molecule: ribosomal RNA, 360 nt
Filed under: uncultured Pelotomaculum sp.
Lineage: Bacteria; Bacillati; Bacillota; Clostridia; Eubacteriales; Desulfotomaculaceae
Description: bacterial SSU rRNA
Rfam family: Bacterial small subunit ribosomal RNA
Source: RNAcentral
UGGACAGGGAGACAGGUGGUGCAUGGUUGUCGUCAGCUCGUGUCGUGAGAUGUUGGGUUAAGUCCCGCAACGAGCGCAACCCCUACGUUUAGUUGCUAACGCGUGAAGGCGAGCACUCUAGACGAACUGCCGUUGACAAAACGGAGGAAGGUGGGGAUGACGUCAAAUCAUCAUGCCCCUUAUGUUCUGGGCUACACACGUGCUACAAUGGCCGGUACAGACGGACGCAAAGCCGCGAGGUGGAGCAAAUCCUAAAAAGCCGGUCUCAGUUCGGAUUGCAGGCUGCAAUUCGCCUGCAUGAAGUCGGAAUCGCUAGUAAUCGCAGGUCAGCAUACUGCGGUGAAUACGUUCCCGGGCCUU